CAUACACUCAUAAUCAAAGCCCAGCAACCACAAACAACAAAUCAGAAGCAUCAAAGCCAAAAAAAUCAGAAAUCGAAGCUACAAAAGGUAUGAAAUUCCCUAAUUUUGAAAUCUUUUGAUUCUAUAUUAAUUGAUGCAAUUGAUUGUUUAAAGUAGUGUAAUAGGGAGUCUAUUAAUGUUCUGGGUUGUAAAAACACAGACCCAUAACAUCAAAGUGCACGAAUUUGAAGAUUUAAGCAAGUUGGAAAAACCGAAUUCUAUUAUUUUUCACCAAAUGUCAGAGGCUAUAACUCUUUGUUAGAUCAUUGGUUUUGUUGUUUAAAGGUUGUUAUGUGUAGCUUUUUAUGUGGUAUUUAACCUCCAAAAAGAAUCAGGUCCAUAUAUAUUAUGGAUUAAGAGUUAUUUAAGGUCAAAGUGGGUUGACCGGAAUUGACCGAAAAAUUCUGGGCAGCCCAGAAUUUUCUAAGUGUUGAUUUUUCUGACAAGGUUUGACCAUACUUUAGUUGCUUGAUUUCUUGUUGUUAUGAUGAUGUUAAGUGUUAAAGGUGUAGUCCUAUAUGUUGUCUACACACUGGAGUUGAUAGAUCACAUAAACGUUACACGAUCGUCAAGUUAUAGAGGCCCAAAGUAGGAAUCACGAACUGUUCUUCACGAAGAACAGCUCUGACAGCUAUUUUGAUGGCUAAUUUCUCCCAGAUCUGAUGUUGUUUAGAAGUAAUGAUUAUUGGUAAUUGUAGUCUUACAUGAGCCCUACAAGAUGUAUGUGUUAGAUUUCCCAAAAACAUCACGAUCAGAUCUAAAAUCGAGGUCAAACUAGG
RNAcentral lists this long non-coding RNA (818 nucleotides) under Panax ginseng (ginseng). Its description in RNAcentral is "long non-coding RNA (PGIN_LNC008119)". The record is from RNAcentral. Lineage: Eukaryota; Viridiplantae; Streptophyta; Magnoliopsida; Apiales; Araliaceae.